RNA transcript from Aquila chrysaetos chrysaetos, 6852 nucleotides. It is a transcript of the gene named F-box and leucine rich repeat protein 18, with no coding region annotated. The record is from RefSeq and is a predicted model, not a curated record. The transcript is spliced from 9 exons. NCBI's taxonomy places the organism in Eukaryota, Metazoa, Chordata, Aves, Accipitriformes, Accipitridae.
UGGCAGCGCCGGAAGAACCGUGCGGCGGCCGGGCCGGCGGGGAGCCAGGCCGGGACGCGGCCGGUUUGAGCGGUGCCCGGGGGAGGCAGCGACGGCGGCGGCGGCGGGACCGCGCGGCCGCCGCCAUGUUCCGCUGUGGAGAGGAGAUCGUAAGUGGGGAGAACGAGGAGGAAAGUAAUGGUGUCAACUUGAUGGAGUUCUCAGAUGAGAUCCUUUUGCACAUCCUCAGCUAUGUCCCUUGCACAGACCUUGUCCUGAAUGUCAGGAGAACCUGCAGGAAACUCGCAACGCUUUGCCUUGACAAAAGUCUAACCCAUACAGUUACACUUCAGAAAGACUAUAAGGUAAACAAAGACAAAGUGAAGCAACUGAUGAGGGAUAUCGGAAAAGAGAUUUACCAGCUGAACAUGGCUGGUUGCUAUUGGCUGCCCAGCUCCACUAUUGAUCAUGUAACACGGUGCAAGAACCUGGUAAAACUGAACUUGUCUGGGUGCCACGUCACCUCUCUCCGUCUCUCAAAGAUGCUGUCCACGCUCCAGCACCUGCGCUCCCUGGCGAUAGAUGUAAAUCCGGGUUUCGAUGCCAGUCAGCUAAGCAGUGAGUGUAAAGCCACUCUUAGCCGUGUCUUGGAAUUGAAGCAAACUCUUUACACGCCAUCAUAUGGUGUCGUUCCGUGCUGCACUAGCCUUGAGAAACUGCUGCUUUAUUUUGAGAUCCUUGAUCGCUCACGAGAAGGUUUUAUGCUCUCUGGGCAGCUAAUGGUAGGUGAGAGCAAUGUGCCCCAUUACCAGAACCUCCGCGUCUUCUAUGCCAGGCUGGCUCCUGGCUACGUUAAUCAGGAGGUGGUGAGGCUGUACUUGGCGGUGCUAAGUGAUCGGACACCUGAGAACCUUCACGCCUUCCUUAUUUCUGCCCCCGGUAGCUUUGCGGAGACGGGAGCCACUAAAAACCUCCUGGACUCUAUGGCUCGAAAUGUACGUCUGGAUGCUUUACAAUUGCCCAAAGCCUGGAUUAAUGGCUCUGGGCUCCUGCAACACUUGAAGUUCAACAACCCUUUCUACUUCAGCUUUAGCCGAUGCACCUUAUCUGGUGGUCACCUGAUCCAGAGGGUUAUUAAUGGUGGGAAGGAUCUUAAAAGCUUGACCAGUUUGAAUCUCAGUGGCUGCGUUCACUGUCUGGCUCCGGAGUCCUUGUUUCGAAAAGCGGAAGAUGACAUUGACAGUAGCAUUCUGGAAAGCCUGGUAGUGUCUUGCUGCAACCUGAGACACCUGAACCUCUCUGCAGCUCACCAUCACAGCUCAGAAAGCAUAGGGAAUCACUUGUGCCAGCUUCUGUCCAGGCUAAAGCACCUGCUCUCAUUAGCGUUACCGGUUUGCUCCAUCACAGAUGUUGCUGCAAAUGUGGAAAAGCCUCCCACGGCAUCUAAUUUGGUGCCCCAAACGUUUGGAAGGAAAGUUCGGAUUGGGAUACAGACAUAUCCAAGGAACUUAGCAGACCAGGCAAAUCAGAAGAUAGAGUCUUCAGUAUUCUGGGCUCUGAUGGGAAGCCUCCGAUUUUUGGAAACCUUGGAAAUAAUUGGGUCCAGUUUUUCCUCUGCCAUGCCCCGCAACGAGCCAGCAAUUCGGAACUCGUUGCCUCCUUGUGUCCGGGCACAAAGCGUGGGGGAUUCAGAGGUGGCUGCCAUUAGCCAAUUGACUUACUUGCAGAGCCUCACCUUAGCACAACUGCCAAAUAUUCUUACUGGCUCUGGGCUUAUUAACAUUGGAUUGCAGUGCCAGCAUUUGCGGACUCUUUCGUUGGCCAACCUGGGCAUGAUGGGGAAGAUGGUCUAUAUGUCUGCUCUCAUGGACAUGCUGAAACACUGCAAGUGUUUGAGAGAUCUCAGGCUGGAACAGCCAUACUUCUGUGCCGGCGCCCAGUUCUUCCAGGCACUGAGUCAUUGCUCCUCUCUCCAGCGGCUUUGCAUCGUCUCCCGGAGUGGGACUCUGCAGUCUGACGCAGUGAUGUCAUUCAUGGCCAACUGCCUUGAGGUCAUCAUGUGCCACAUGUUUAUGGGAGAAUCUCUUACCGUUUGCAAAAAUCUCCAGCAAUCUAUUGUCCGGAGGUAUUGCCUCCUUUCCCCGGGCUUUUCCUCAGCCCAGCAACGACUUGUCUGAAUAAUUCAACUAAAAAUUCAGGAUCGCAAAUAAAUAUGGGAUAAUUGCUAACAGCUCGCAGACAAUCCGCUGCCAGAGGAAGGCUAAACUCCUGGUCGGCGCGUGCCCCUGGGGAGGCGAAGAGCUGGAUGGGGACCGGAGCUGCCGCCGCUCCUUCCACCACCAGUCCCCCGCACCGGCGUCCUGCUGCAGCUGAGGUGGGACUGGGGCUGGUGUGGUGUGUCCGGGUGAGUUUUCUUUGCUUUUUAAGCCCAGUUCAGGGAAUUUAGGUAUUUUUGCUUUGCCUCUUUCUGCUGGUUUUCAGCAAAGCACGUCCGCUCGGGCACCAGUCCCAAAGCGUAGCGAUGCCCUGCUGGGGGCUGACUUUCUGACUUGGUGGAGAAAAAGGCUUUUGAGUCGCUCCCAGCGAUGCUCUCCCCCUCCAUCCCUCCUUCUCUCCCAUCCCAAGAGCCGGUGAGGACUUAUGCCGGCAGGGUUGGUGUCUCCGUGGAAGAAGGGGAGACUCUUCCUUGGGAAAGUUCUUCUCUGAGGACUUUGAAAGGCCCCCGGGGGGGUGGCGAUGGGGGGGGCUUUAUCCAACUCUGGGGCUCCCCUCACCAAACCAUCCCGGGUUCCCGGCCGUGGCGGGGCUGGGGAGCUGUUGUUAUUCCUCUCAUGUAGCAGGAAGGAUUUCUGCGAGUGCCAUAAACCUGUCACGUGGGCAGAGCCUGGGUGAGCUCUAAUUGCUUCUAUUUGCAUAAUGAGGCGAGGCUCAGCAUCCUGCUGAUAUUUGAAAGAAGAAAAUCAAAAUCAGCUCUAGAUAAACAACUCCCCCCCCCCCCCAUCCCUACCCCCACUCCUAAUUUGCACAUUUUCUCCCUUAAUGCAGGUUUUUCAGCUCUUUGGUCUUCUCGGGAGCACCGGGACCCCCCCUGGGACCCCUCCCCAGAGAGCAUGGGUGCUGGGUGCUGGAGUGUGUGUGUGUGUGGGUGCUGCCCCUUUCCUCUGGCUGCAGUGGUUUGGGGGCUUUGCCUGGGGCUGGCGGUGGGGGACAUGGUAUGGAGGUGUCUGAAUGGGAGCUGGAGAGGAUUUGGGUGCUCUUGGGGCUGGGAAUGUGGAGCCCAGGCUGGAGCUGGGAGCCCCCGGGCUCUGUGCGGGAGUGGGGCUUGCUCAUGGCGUGGGGCUGUCCGGUGCCGGAGAGUCUGUGACCAGCCCAGGGCUGGAGGGUUUCCCCGAGUGGGAGCCCAGCAGAUGUCACUGCAUCCCGGUGUCACUGCAUCCCGGUGUCACUGCGUCCCGGCGUCACUGCGUCCCGGCGUCACUGCAUCCCAGUGUCACUGCAUCCCGGCGUCACUGCAUCCCGGCGUCGCUGCAUCCCAGCGUCGCUGCAUCCCGGCGUCACAGCAUCCCAAUGUCACUGCAUCCCGGCGUCACUGCAUCCCAGUGUCACUGCAUCCCGGCGUCACUGCAUCCCGGUGUCACUGCAGCCCCUGCGGGGACCGUCCUACCUAGGGACCAGGCGCCAGCUGGGGUGCAGCCCUGCUCACACACCCCGUGCUGGCCCCAAGUGUCCUGCUGGCUUCUGGGGACCUGCCAGGGAUGGGAUGGGAUGGGACGGGACGAGACAGGACCCUUCCUCACCUGCGAGCCCCCCGGGGUGGCAGGAAAGGCUUCGCUUGCACCCCAGGUGUUGCUGGCUGGGGGGAUGCUCCUGCCCUGGGGCCCUCGGAGGACCUGGAAGAAGGUCCAGAAGGACUUUGAAGAAGGGAUGAUGACCCCUGGCUGGGCUGUGCCACCAGUCCGUGUCCCCAGAUGUGCUGCCCCUCUGUAAGCCCUUUUCCCCACUCACCCACAGCCCAGGGGACCAGGAGCAUCCUGGCUCCUCCUGUCCCCAGGGUCUUUCCCAGCAGCCAAACCUGGGUGUCCCCUUGGCCCUGGGGGGACCUUGGGCAUCGCCAAGACCUGCUUGGUGCCCACGGCUUUUGGGACCUGGAGGGGCUGUUCUCCUGGUCAGGGUGCCGGGGGGAUUUGCACCCUUCGCCCCAGGAAGGACAGUGCCUCGCUCGCUUGAGGCCAGGUAGCAGACACUGCACAGGAACAUGCCGUGUCCCUUCCCUGGGGGACGGGGUGAAUCGGCUCCUUCCUCCUCCUCUUCCUCCCCGGCACACGGGCUGGUAUCCUCUGAACCCUUUGCUGCCCUUCAGGGGAGAAGUGCUGACUCCAGAUGUUUCCCUAAAUGAGAACCUUCUGCAAACAGUGCCGGUUUAUUUUCAUACCGAAAGAAAAUGAAAGGGCUGUUAUGAUGACGAUUAUUAAUGUUUUUGCAGCCCGUGUUUGUAGCGGGGGCUGCUGUGCCGAUGGGAUAGUGGAUGGACAGACAGACAGAUGCGUGGGGAAGCCGUGUCCCCCCUCCAUCCUCUGCUCUCCGGGUGCAUCGUUGGGCUGGUUCGCUCUGGCCAGCUCCAUCUUAUCCCAGCUCUCCGGAUUGGGGAUGGGCAGUGAGCCCCGUGCCUGUGGUCUCCGCUCCCUUUCCCAGCCCUGGUGGUCCAGGGAUGAGCUGGGGGGGGGAGGACCGGGACCCCCGGGAGCGGGGACUUCAUCUCAGUAGCAGCAGGAGCACGAAGAGCCCGUGCUCAGAGAUGUCCAAGGGUAAAAGGACAGGGGUCAGAGAAGAAAUCUCUGCAUACGAGUGUUACCAAGAGUGAGCCCUUGUCUGAACGCCCGCCAGGGCUCGGCCACUCGCUCCAGGUGUGACCGAGGAUCCCCAAAUCACUGCUGUGGCCCAGGACCCUGCCUGGUGUGGAAGGUCAGCACCAGCCCCCUCCUCAUCCAGCUCCUGUUUCUGUCUAAGCCCAGUCUCUGGCUGGGAUGCUUUUGCUGCUCCCACGGUCCCCUCCAACACGAGCCGUUACCUCCCCCUGACACCCAUGUUACUUGGGCUGCUGAUAGCCCACGGCUCAGACAAAAUCAGCCGGAUCUGAUUGAACAUUUGCUCUGCUCCUCCAAAGCCACCAGCAUCCCACCUGCUGAGCCCAGCCCGUGGACCAGCGCCUGCUCUCAUCCUUUUUGCUUUCUCGGCCCGUCGGUCUUCAGUGACCUUCAGCCCGCGGCAGGGCUAGAAGGACAGGGGAGAUCCGGCUGCCAGCGCUCACUGCUCCCUCUGCUCUCCUGCCCGUGCCAAACCCGCGGCCGGGGCUGCUGCCAGCAUCCCCAUCCUGGACCGCGGAGGUCUCCCGUUCCCUUGGCCCUCAUGGUAUGCGAAAGUCCCUCCUCGGGCUGGUGUGCCAAACGGGAAAGGAGCAGCAAUGCUUCCCCCUCAUCCCCUCUCCCCAUCCCCUCCUCAUCCUCUGGCCCCUGGUGAAGCCGAGCGGGGCAGGCUGGAGAAAAGGAGAAGUACCCUCAAAGGUGGAAAGAAAUCCUCCCCGGCAGCUCUUAAUAGGGGGGAAGAGAGGGAACAAGAUGGGAGGAGAGGUUGCAAGCAUGAUCAUAGCCCAUGCUUGCAGCAAGCGAGCGCGCGUGUGUGUGUGUGUGUGUGUGUAUGCACGCCGGCUUUCCAUCAGGCUGAUAAAAGGACUGGGAGCUCUUGAAGCCGAAGCCAAGGUGAGUAACCUGUGGCUGUCCUGGGGGAGAUGGCGGGGGGGGGGAAGGCCUGUUUACUCAAGAGCAGCAGGGAUGCUCUGCCAGGAGCCGGGGCCGUCGGUUCUGCGGUGGUAACAGCUCGCUGAGGAGGGGUUGGGUUUCAGCAUCCCAGCCCAUGCCGUGAGGAGGGACGCCGGCCGGGCAGCUUGGCUGUCAGCCCCCAAAUCGGUGGUCCGGGGGGAUGCGUUGGCUAGAAGUGCAGGAUGGAUGGGGGUCUGCCUUCUCCCCGGGUCCCCGCGGCUGAGCAGGGGGUGCUGGGGCUGGUCCCCGCCGUGGUGGGGCUCCCCGCGGCUUCGGUGGAGCAAACACAGCCCAGACACCAACUGGGAAGCGGUGGCUUCGUGCUGACCUGGGUGAGGGGUCUCUACCCCAGGCGAGGGGUCUUUGGUCCCUCUUGCCCUACCAGCAAGCGGGUUUUUUCCUCCUCCCAUGCAGACAAGAAGCUCCCAUUGCCAUUGCACAGCUCUUUUUGCCCUGCCUAGGGUCUCGCUUGCACCCUGCCUGCAAAUUUCCAAGGGUUUCCUGGGCUCCCUCAUCACCCCCAUGUUACAUUUGGGAUUUGUAUUUAAUUCUUAUUUAUUUCUUCAUAGGUUUGUUCCUGUCAUUGCUGCUGUUCCUGGCCCGGCUUUCCAGCAGGUUUGCUCUGCAGAGAGCUGCAGAGCGCUCGGCACCUCCUGCCUCUUUUUCAUCCCUUUCCUCCUCGACGCUCGCCAAAUGAGCAGCAAGCGCGGCCACCGACCGUGGGUCUUCCCAGCAAUGCCAUCGCCGCCCCGUCAAUCUCAAGGUCAGGGUGAAGCCUGACGUCGGUCCGCAGCUGAGCCAGCACAUCCGUGGGGCGAGAGCGGCCACCGGCAGCCCCGGGGCGAAGGCGGCUUCCAAAUUCCUGCACAGCCAAAUCCUGGCUGGGGCUGCCAGGAAACCCGGCCAGCAACAAUCCCCGAGGGUUUUGGGGGACACCGGAGGCGCGGGGGACAGCGGCAGAGCAGUGAAGCAGCCCUGAGGCCACGGUGAGGGCACACGUUGGAUCUCCAGGUGAAAUGUUGGUGGCCGGGAAAAGGGGGAUUGGGAAAAUCCUGCA